ACAGUCACACAUUAGAUACCCCCGUAGUCCCAGCCGUAAACUAUGCGCGUUAGGUGUAUCGGUGACCACGAGUCACCGAGGUGCCGAAGGGAAACCGUGAAACGUGCCGCCUGGGAAGUACGGUCGCAAGGCUGAAACUUAAAGGAAUUGGCGGGGAGCACCACAACGGGUGGAGCCUGCGGUUUAAUUGGACUCAACGCCGGGAAGCUCACCGGAUAAGACAGCGGAAUGAUUGCCGGGCUGAAGACUCUGCAUGACUAGCUG
RNAcentral lists this ribosomal RNA (264 nucleotides) under uncultured archaeon. RNAcentral's name for it is "partial 16S ribosomal RNA". It matches the Rfam family "Archaeal small subunit ribosomal RNA", at positions 716 to 982 of the family's 1478-position model. The record is from RNAcentral.